This 253-nucleotide ribosomal RNA is filed under the name uncultured bacterium. RNAcentral describes it as "partial 16S ribosomal RNA". It matches the Rfam family "Bacterial small subunit ribosomal RNA", at positions 524 to 776 of the family's 1533-position model. The record is from RNAcentral.
UACAGAGGUGGCAAGCGUUGUUCGGAAUUACUGGGCGUAAAGGGCGCGUAGGCGGUCCCGUAAGUUCCGCGUGAAAUCCCCCGGCUCAACCGGGGAAUGGCGCGGAAAACUGCGGGGCUUGAGUUCGGGAGAGGGAAGCGGAAUUCCGGGUGUAGCGGUGAAAUGCGUAGAUAUCCGGAGGAACACCGGUGGCGAAGGCGGCUUCCUGGACCGACACUGACGCUGAGGCGCGAAAGCUAGGGGAGCAAACGGG